Non-coding RNA from Myotis lucifugus (little brown bat), 71 nucleotides. Lineage: Eukaryota; Metazoa; Chordata; Mammalia; Chiroptera; Vespertilionidae. The record is from Rfam.
GCCAUCAUGGCUCAGUGGUUGAGUGUCGACCUAUGAACCAGGAGGUCAAGGUUCGAUUCCCUGUCAGGGCA